GUGUGUGAUGUGCGUGUGUUACUGAAAAUGGCCGUGUACGUGCGGGUCUGUCUAGUUUACUGAUUCCACACACGAUAGUUUGCACAUUCUUUUUAAUAUUUGGAUUUAAACAGUGAAUUUUUCGAUGAUAUGUGUAAUUAGUGUGAACAUGUAAUUUAAAGAUUUUAACUAGUUAUCGAUAAUAUAAAUUGAGACGAAGUGUGCCCAUUUCAUGAACGGUGGAUCAUUAAAAGAGAAGUUUUAUAUAUAUAUUGCAACUGAGAAUAAAAGAUUAUUAAUAAUGGGUUGCAUUCUUUAUAUUUGCAUUAUUAUUUAUUUAAACAACUUUGUUGAUUAGUGAAUAUUGACUAUAUAUUAUCAAGAUGUGGGAGAGAUUUCAUAUAAUUCCCUAUUGUAAGAUGGGGAUAUGAAUUAAGUAUAUUUUUUAAAACAUUUUCUAUUUUAAAAGGAAAUGUUAAAAUAUAUUUAAAUAAUAGAAAGUAUGCAAAAAUAUAUAUAAGAUGAUUUAUGUAUUUUGUAAUAAUUUCAAAUAAGAAUGAAUUAUUUAAAAAUUGCUUAAAUUUAUAUUUAAAAUCAAUGUAAAAUACAUAUUUGUUGUUAAUGAUAAACAUUAUUGAGUUUUAUGACAUAAUGUAAUAGAAAUAUAUAUUUUACAUAUAAAUAUUGAGUAAGAAUUACAAAAAUGUCAUUCUUAUCGAAUUUAAAGAAAGCAUUCCACUUUGGUGGAAAUGAUGCUAAGAAAAAGAAAUUAUAUAAUAAUAUUAAAAUGGACUGUAAUCCAGAAGAAUUCUGGGAAAUGAUAGGUGAACUAGGAGAUGGAGCAUUUGGAAAAGUUUAUAAGGCACAACAUAGGCAAACUCAUCAACUUGCUGCUGCAAAAAUGUGUGCAUUGGAGGGAGAAGAUGAUCUCAGUGAUUUUAUGAUUGAAAUAGAUAUUUUAUCAGAAUGUAAACAUCCCAAUGUUGUUGAAUUACAUGAAGCAUAUUUUAUUGAAGGCAAAUUAUGGAUGUUGAUAGAAUAUUGUGAUGGUGGUGCUGUUGAUUCCAUAAUGGUCGAAUUAGCAAAAGCUUUGACAGAACCACAAAUAGCCUACAUAUGUCAACAUAUGGCAAAAGGUCUUGCAUUUUUACAUAAAUCUAAAGUUAUUCACAGGGAUUUAAAAGCAGGAAAUGUUUUAUUAACAAUGGCAGGAGGAGUGAAAUUAGCUGACUUUGGAGUAUCUGCAAAAAAUAAGCAUACUUUACAGAAACAUGACACAUUUAUUGGGACACCAUAUUGGAUGGCUCCAGAAGUAGUGUUAUGUGAGACAUUUAGAGAUAAUCCUUAUGAUUUUAAAGUAGACAUUUGGUCACUUGGUAUUACUUUAAUAGAAUUCGCGCAAAUGGAACCACCAAACCAUGAAAUGUCUCCAAUGCGUGUUCUUCUUAAAAUACAAAAGAGUGAUCCACCCAGACUUGAUCAACCUGGAAAAUGGAGCAAAGAUUUCAAUGAUUUUAUUGCAAAAGCUCUUAUUAAAGAUCCAACAUCACGACCUACAGCUGAUGAAUUAUUAAAACAUCCAUUUAUAAAUCGUAAUUUGGAUUCAAAACCGAUCAGAGAUUUGUUAUUGGAAUAUAAAGCUGAUGUUGUUGAGGAAGAAUUGGUCGAUGAAGAAACUGAGGAGCAACGCACGUCUCAGCUUCCUCUGGAGCUGGAUCAACUCGGAGAUGACUCUGCGUCUAUGCGCAGUGACGCUGAUGUUCAGAUUUCUGAAAAGGAAAAUCUUGUUGCAUCACCCGUGUCUGCAAAAAAAGAAGAAAGUCAUAAACGAGAAAUUAACAGAGAUGGUGAAAGAGAGGAUAGAAACAAGAAAUUACGUAAAGCGGAAUCAAAAGAUAAUAUAACCGUUUCUGUUGAGAAAAAACAAGCACCCAAGCCUCCUAAUACAAACGAAACGAGCGAACGUAGAGUAUCUCGAGAAAAAGGUCCUGCGCCUCCUCCACCACUUAUGCGUCAAAAUAGUAAAAUCGAAGAUAAGGAAAAUAAUAUAAAAGUUGUCGAUAAACAAAAUAAUAAAGAAGUAUUAAACGAAUACAAGGUUAUUGAUAAGCAGCCAAAAGAUAGAAACGAGUCGUCGCAAUUAGAUCAGGAAACGUUAGGCAGGGAACAGACAAAUGUAGAUACGCUUUGUGAAAAAACAAACGUAUUAUCUAGUUUAGAAAAAAUUAUAUUAGAAAGUAACGAAAGAGAAAAGAGCAAGAUAGAUAAUGCGAACAAGAAUGAUAUUAAACAAAGAUCGAUAGAUGAUAAGAUGAAUUUAUCGUCGAGGACACAAUUGACAUUAGAGGAGAAGAGAAAGUCGGCACCUGUUAAAUUAAUCGAAGACUGGACGAAACCAGUGUUCAAUAAACAAUCGUCGUUGGAAGAAAAAAGCAGAAUUGAGAAGAAAGCGCCAAUUGAUGUACAAGUUAAAAGACAAUCUUCAUCGGAAGAAAAUUACAAGAGUUUGCAGGAGAAACGAAAAUCGGUGGAGCAAAAAUUAAAUGCCGUUUUGGAGAAACGAUUUUCGAUGGAUACCGAAAUGCGAAUGAGCGUUUCUUCCAUGGAGGCAUUGUCGCAUCGAGAAGUUUUAACGACGAGUACAUCCGAGAAGAAUAUCGUCAAGGCUUGUUCGAUCGAAGAUGUUAAAACGGAUUAUGGAAAGUCUAAAACGGAAUCUGUCGUCAAAAGUCACAGCGAAGGAUCUUCCAGAUACGUCUCGUUGGAGAAUUUUCCCGAUGAAUUCGACGGGAAACGGGCCGAUAAGAAAUGGCCGAGCAAAGAACACAACAAUUACGAGAAUGUGGUGAACAAUGGUGACGGCGUAAACUGUGAGAAGAAAGGUUCUUCGGUGAAUGUAUCAGUAAUUACAUCAACUCCUAUUAAAAAUACUUCGAGAAGAGGUAGCGGAGAUAACGUAGUUGUCAUUACUGGUAAAUCCGAUCAAGAAAUACGUCCAAAUACAUCAACCGUCCGGAUCACAUCAGAUAGCCCAGAUUUAUCAAACAGCCUUGCGAGCAACGUCAGCCAAGUGACAGUGGUGACGACGCAUCCUCCGGUUCUCGUCGAUGCUGUGUCGUUAGCGGCGACUCUUUCCUGUCGUCAACCUCCAACGUCGGAGGUUAUCAUCGUCGCGAACGAAUUGAACAAGACACAGGUGAACGAGAGUUCAACGGACGACGAUGGAUUCCCGAGUUUAGACAGUUUAGAAUACAUGCCUCAAGAGCAGCCUAUAAUUCUUACCGACGUUUCGAAAAGAAUCGGUAAGAAGUUGGACGAAUCCGAGGUUCUGAUUGUUAGCCCGAUCGUAGACGAAUUGCAAGAUACUAGUCACGUUUCCGUUGUUACCGUCGGCGACGAUAAGGAACAGGUGAAAGAUUCCUCGAUGCUCAACAAACACGAGGCCGUGCGAACCUCUUCCUCUCACAGCGAUACGAGUUUGAUCGAAAGAUCGAGCACGAAGAGCGACAGCGGCGACGAGAUCACGAAAAUGAUAGUCGCCGGGACAACGAUAGAGUCCAUCCACGACAUGGACGACGUGGAGAGAAAUAAUGGUUCGAAGAAAGUGAACGGCCUGUUGAAAAAUGAUAAAUCGGCGAUCGUCGAUCGUAUCGUGGACGAGAAAGUUUUGAAAACGUUGAAACAGAAAGAGAUGGGUAAAGGGUACAAAGAGAAGAGAGUGUCCCCGGAUAGUUUCGAAGGAUCCAGAUCCCAGAGCGAGUCCGGCUCGACGAGAUCUCAUACGCCUAGUAAAAGCAUAGAUCGUUCCGACGCCGAAUCCAUUUCCACGACGAUAAGCCAGGACAGCAGGGAAUCGAGUAAGGAGAAUCAUCUGAGUCAAUCCGGUCAAUCCGGGGAAGUAGACGAGGAAGUGGUGUUGCGACGGAAGUCGGAUUACAAUCGGGAGAUGCAACGACCGACGAAAACGAAGGAGGAUAUACAGAUGAUGAAUUUGAAGAAGAAAACGAGGAAAAGGACGAGGAAAUUUGAGAUAGACGGCGUGGUUGUUACCACGACGACGUCCAAGGUAAUUUACGGGGACGACGAGAACGGUAAAGUUUACGAUGAUCAAAUUUUCAGGAAGCAAGAGUUGAGGGAAUUGAAGAUGCUACAGAAAAUGGAGCAGAAACAGUUUCAGGAUUUGUCGCAAAAGGCCCAGUUCAACAAGGAUCAGCAAGACAAACGUUUCGAGCAAGAGAGGCAACUGUUGGAAAGAAAUGCCGAGACCGAUUUGGAAACGCUUGCUCGCCAGCAAAGGCAGCAGAUCGAGCGUGCGGAAGCGCAGCAAGAGGCCGAUCUUAGGCUGGCUUCGAAGAAAAUACGAAGCGAGCAGGAGAGGGAAUUGAAACAAUUUCGCGAAGGGUUGAAACAGGAAUUGAAACUGCUCAAGCAAGAGGUGGAUCUGAUGCCUAAAGAUAAGAGGAAGAGUGCGUUCAAGAUACGUAAGGAGAAAUUGGAGGCUGAACACGAGGAGAGGGAGAAACACUUCUUAGACAAGCUUAACGAAAGUCACGAAUUGUUGUUGAGAAGAUUGUCGGAUAGCCAUCGUGAAAAGAUUGCCCUGAUGGAAAGGCAAUUUUUGCAACAAAAGCAACAAUUGAUGAGAGCUCGGGAAGCUGCCAUUUGGGAACAGGAAGAACGGCACAUACACGAGAAGCAGCAAUUAUUGAAGAAACAAUUGAAGGAUAUUUUCUUUUUGCAAAGACAUCAGAUGUUGAUACGACAUGAGAAGGAAUUGGAACAGAUGAAGAGGAUGAAUCAACGGAAGGAGGAGGAAUUGAUCAAACGGCAGACGGUGGAGCGUAGAAAUUUACCCAAAAGAAUUCGCAACGAGAUGAAGGCGCGCGAAAUGAUGUUCAGGGAAUCUAUGAGGAUCUCCAUGUCCUCCGUCAUCGCGCCUGACCCCGAUGCCGAGAGGGAAAAGUUGAAAAAGUUCCAAGAGAAUGAGAAAAAGCGAUACAGAGCCGAGCAACAAAGAUUCGAAUUGAAACACUCGCGGCAAUUGGAAGAGGUAAGAGCGCAAAGCGAUGCGACUAUCAAAGAAUUGGAACAAUUACAGAAUGAAAAGAGGAAAAUGUUAAUGGAGCAUGAAACGUUGAAGCUGAAGGAAUUGGAAGAGGCGUAUGCUAAAGAGCUUCGCGAAUGGAAAGCUCAACUCAAGCCACGAAAGCAGAAGUUAGAAGCUGUGCUGACGGCUGAAAUGGAAGCGUUGGAAGUUCGUUACCGAGACUAUUUGCCCUCGAGUCUUAGUGGUCUCUCUUCUCCCCUUUUAGAUUGUUCUUCUCUGUUUAAUUUUGAAAGUUGGAAGAAAUCUCCGCGUCUGCCCCGCUCUACUCCAACAUCCCCUUCCCCGUUUACCAUUCCAAGGGUGUCGCUAAGAGUUGGUGGUUUGGACACCGGUUCCGUUAAUGGCAUGCCAUCACGAAGUCAAUCCAAACCAGAUCUAGUACCGUCCCCCUCAUCUCGUAGAUAGUAUUCCGAAAAAUCCUCUUGUGUCUCCUCCCAAAAAAUGUUUUCGUUUCAUUCAUUCAGGGAGAAGUUUCGAAAUAAGUAUCACUAUUCUAUUCUCUGUUUCACCAUUUAUUUCUUUUAUAUAAUUACAAUUAUUUUUCUUAUUUUUUUUUCUCUCUCUCUCUCUCUCUCUAAUCAUAGCAUUAAACUUAAUUAUUUUCCCCCUACAAUCUAAUCUAACUAUUUCGAAAUUUCUCUUACUAAUUAAAAAUUAUGCUUUUGUGUAUUUAAGGGUAUCAUUUAUUUUUUUUUUUUUUUUACUCAUGCCCGCUUCACUCACUCGUUGCUUCAAUUAUACAGCAAUAUUUAUCGUCUGUUUAAAUGCUAUAUAUUCGCAUCCAUUAUUAUAUUACAUGUACAUAUAUAUAAUUUACGUUUACGUAUGAAUGUGUCCCCCCAAUAUGCACACACGUACAUUUAAUAUUAUAUUUUUACGUAACCAAUUUAAAGGAGAAAUAUAUAUAUAAAUAUAUAUAUAUAUAUAUAUAUUGUUUGGGCUUAAUAACGCGGAAUAACAUUUGAAAUAAUAUGAUAAUAUAUUGUAUAAGGAAAUAAUUAAUUUAUAACAUGAGUUUGCAAUUCUUGGGGAACCAUAAUAAGUAUAUAUACCCUUAAAAUGAUAAGAGCUUGUUAUUGUUUAUAAGCUAUUAAUAAGUUUAAGUUUAUAGUUUCUUUGUACUUUUUUUUUUUUUUUGUUUCCAAGUGAUGAGAUAUAUUAAACAUAUAUAUAUAUAUAAAAUAUAUAUAUCACUGGCAUUAAAUUAAUUUAAUCGUUGAAAUUGCACUUAAAUUACGAUGUUGCAGAUUUAUUGUCCACUCGUUAAGUUUUUUUCAUCACAAAUAAACAUAACGUAUCAUAAGACAAUUUUUUUUAAUAAUAUAAUCAUUAAUGUUCAGGAAUAUCGACGAGCAUUUAUAUAUACAUAUAUAUAUAUAUAAAUACAUACACUAAAAUGGUACUUUAUGCUUAUUUUCUAUGUGAUUAGAUAUUUAUCGUUUCCGUUGUAUUAUCGAUAAUAUAUGUAAGUUUCGUGUUUUCGAUAGUAGCUUUUUUUCCAUGGUUAUUAAAACACAAAAUUAUAACAGGAGGUGAAUUGGUAAUAUAAUUGUGGGUUACAUGUAUGUUGUAUACUUACCGAAUGUAGUAAAAUGUGCGAUAAAUGCUUAUAAUAUACAUGAGGGGAUUCUCAUAAUAAUUGUUUCCAAUUGUGUACGUUGUGUAUCGCGUUUAUUCCCUAUAUUUGUUACGUACCUUUCUCAUUAAAUAUCCAUUAAGACAACAUGUCGGGAAAGAGAUUCCACGACUGGAUAUCAGAACGGUCUACUAGGUAAUAAACAAGAAAUUGGAAGAACAGUUUGCGUUACAACUGGAGGAGCAAGAGGCGAUUUACGGGCCAAGCGCUAUACCAUUGUGCUUACCGGCAGAUCUUACCGACUUGACGCAUCAUACGGUUGGCUCAACCCGUAGCUCGCUCUCCUCGGUGAGCGAAGGUUAAUUAUUGUCUAAUUUAAUUUUUAUCGAACCGAAUACCAAAAUGAGUCUCUAUCAACGUGAGGAAAUAAAGCAUAAGGGAUAAUGUCGAUAUAAGUAAUACUUAUAUACGAGUAUUGUUGUAUCAUCCGAUCUGUUUUGGAUAUUGGAAUCGUCACUGAUCAUUUAAAUUUGAUUGUGUGUAAUAAAGAUUUAACAAAAUAAAUCGUCGAUUGAAGAUUGCGUGGGCUAUCAACGAUCGCUCGUACGCUCUAACUAAAGAGAGAAUUUUCUUUAAUUCCAUGGAUGAUUCAUACCGAUGAUCAAUUGAAAAAUUGUGUGAGUACGAAUCUGUGAACAUUAUUAUACCAUCAUAUAUAUAUAUAUAUAUAUUAUACGAUAUGAUCAAACAGCAAUAAGAUUAAUAAAGAAGAAAGAGAAGAAUGGAAGAGAAGGGAAAGAGCAAGAUUGAAAAUCGUUUUUUCUCUUAAAUUAGAUACUUAUUAUAUUUAUGAAUGAUUUACUACACACAAAUGAAAUGAAUUUGUUACGGUGAUUCUAUUGAAAGCUGUAUACUAUUUGGUACAUACAAUUCAUAAUCAAUCCGCCCGUUGAUCGUUUCUUCUGUAAUUUGGAUAAAGCAGACAAGACUCAUGAUCAGUAUAUCGUGAUUCUACUAAUAAAAUUACAUUUUUUUCUACAAUUCAUAUAUAUAAAUAUAUAUAUAUAUAUACAUGUAUAUUGAACUAGAAAUCGAAAUUAAUUAAUUUGAAGAUAAUUUACUAUUCUAUUCUACACGCGAUGUCCACGAUAUUCAAUGGAAUACCAAGUGAUUUUUAUGUGUACGUAAAUGCACAUUUGAAGAAUUAUAUUUUCGAUUGUGCGAGUGUAUAUAUACAUAUAUGCAUAUAUAUAUAUAUAUAUAUAUAUAUGCUUGUUGUCCUAUUGAGUGUUAUGGCAUAGACAUUUAUCUAGAGAAUGAUGUUGAAGCAAGUGAAUAAAAUGUAAGGUUGGUAGUUGCGCGCGCAUUUCAAAACUGUGGAUGCACGCGAUUCAGGUAUAUUUAUAUACCUCCGUUCGGAUCAUUGAAUCGAAAGUCCUUAUGUAUGUGAACCAACACAUGUAGACUCACUCUCCGUCUUCGUUAUUAGAUUAUUUAACGAGUUGUAUCGUUUGUAAAGAAAAUGCUAAAUCUACUGGCAGAUUGUUUUUAAUCAAGAUAUAUUUUUAAUAAAUAAAACGUUCAACAGUACGAAUCAAAGGUUCACGCCAAAUAUAUAUAUAUUAUAUACACACAAUGUAUGAUUUUUCUUAUCUGCGAGUCUAUAUGUAUAGGCAGAGAAUGUUAUAGAAAGAAUCUCUUUGAUUGCGUAUUCGAAACGAGCAUGUGUUGUGUACUAACUCUAAUGUUCGUAACGUUUAGAUGUAAAGAAACGUAUAUUUGUAUAAAAUAUUUUCUUUCGUUUCCCCUUUUAUUUUUAUUAUUUUUUCUUUUUCUUUCUUUCUUUCUUUCUUUCUUUCUUUUCUUUCCAUUUCCUUUAAUUGUACAGUACAUUAACUUUUGUAUUUUUUCUUUAUCCACGUCAAUCUAUCAUCCGAAGGUGUGCUUAUACGAUUAUAUUGAGUAAGAUAUAUUGUAUAUAUAAAAAAAACUCGAAAUGAAUUGUUUGAUAUAUAUUUUGAUUAUUCUACUUUUACUACGUACAGAGUAUAAGAGUUUCACGAUGUCGAGUCUUCGAGAACAGUUUAUUUACCUUCUUAAGCGAGAAAUACGUUGAAUGUAUCCGUUUUCGUCCGUAUCCACAUAAACGGAGGAAAAAAAAAACUGCGGCUAACUCGAGUGAAAUUUGAUGCGUGUGAUUUGUAAUCAACGUUCGCUCGAGUUCUUUUUUAUUUUUCUUCUUCUUCUUGAUGCGUGUAACGUGUAAGUAAAUACGAGGAGUUCGUUUUUAAUAAUAAAUAAUAAUAUUAAUAAUAAUAAAUAAUAAUAAUAAUAAUAAAAAAGGAAAGAGGACAUUUGCCAAAGCAUAUAUGUAAAUACAUGUAUUCUUGAUAUUUUUAGGAAAGCAUUAACAUUUUAGGGACAUGUAAAAAGGACACUUGUGAUGUGACGACGAAAAAAAAAAAAAAAAAAAGGGGCGUAACAACGCCCUUCAACGAAUUUUUUGUCGGAUCGAAUUUCCCGAUCCCAGAAGAAAGAAAACUUUACUUUACUAACUAAAACGUGCCUAUCUUGGAUCCUAUCCCGCGUCGAAAGAUUUUUUUUCACGAGUGGUGGAGACACGAGAACGAUCGCGCGUCUUCGUAAACGGGAUCAAUUACAAAAAAAAAAA
RNA transcript from Apis mellifera (honey bee), 9333 nucleotides. It is a transcript of the gene named serine/threonine-protein kinase 10, with no coding region annotated. The record is from RefSeq and is a predicted model, not a curated record. The transcript is spliced from 13 exons. Lineage: Eukaryota; Metazoa; Arthropoda; Insecta; Hymenoptera; Apidae.